CAACGGGAAGUUUAGGAAUUGAAACCCACAAAUCAUUGAUAUUUAUAUAUAAAUAUGUAGAAAUAAAAGGAGAAGCUGAGGAGGAGCUACUUGAACAACCCAAAGAUGGAGAAGUGGAGAAGGUGGCUUCGCUUUGAACGCUCACUUGUUUUUCCAACUAAAUGUGUACUUUUAAAGGUCACAAAGCAUCUCAAGCCAAAGGCUGAAGGGAAAAGGCAGGGGCUGCUAGGACUUUACAAGGACUUGGAGGGUUGUGGCGAAUAUGAAGAUAUACAAGUUAUGUGGAAGAUGGUUCAUUCUUCUUGCCCAUCAACUGCCCACAAAACCAGAAGAACCAAAAGGCCUUAUUCUUGGAGGAUCAGCUUCUGUUUUAGGCCAAGCUAACCCCAUCAAGAUUUUUGAUUGAGAUGUAAAUAAUAGCAGCCAAGAACAGAUUCUGUUUGCUUCCAUCUUUUCUUUGGUUAAAACCCACUUUUAUGAAAUGUUUAGAAAUCAGGACCGGAACUCGUCGGGAAAAAAAUAUUAUACAACCGUUAUGCUACGAAGAAAA
Molecule: long non-coding RNA, 550 nt
Organism: Gossypium arboreum
Lineage: Eukaryota; Viridiplantae; Streptophyta; Magnoliopsida; Malvales; Malvaceae
Exons: 2
Source: RefSeq, a predicted model, not a curated record